This 421-nucleotide ribosomal RNA is filed under the name uncultured Porphyromonadaceae bacterium. Its description in RNAcentral is "bacterial SSU rRNA". It matches the Rfam family "Bacterial small subunit ribosomal RNA", at positions 356 to 774 of the family's 1533-position model. Lineage: Bacteria; Pseudomonadati; Bacteroidota; Bacteroidia; Bacteroidales; Porphyromonadaceae. The record is from RNAcentral.
GAGGAAUAUUGGUUAAUGGGCGAGAGCCUGAACCAGCCAAGUCGCGUGAAGGAAGACUGCCUUAUCGGUUGUAAACUUCUUUUAUACAGGAAUAAAAAGGCUUACGUGUAGGCCAUUGCAAGUACUGUAUGAAUCAGCAUCGGCUAACUCCGUGCCAGCAGCCGCGGUAAUACGGGGGAUGCGAGCGUUAUCCGGAUUUAUUGGGUUUAAAGGGUGCGCAGGCGGGGGGUUAAGUCGGCGGUGAAAUUUUGCAGCUCAACUGUAAAAGUGCCUUCGAAACUGGUUCCCUUGAGUGCGGAUGAGGUAGGCGGAAUUUGUGGUGUAGCGGUGAAAUGCAUAGAUAUCACGAGUAACUCCGAUUGCCCAGGCACCUUACCCAGCCGUAACUGACGCUCAAGCACGAAGGCGUGGGGAUCAAACA